Molecule: ribosomal RNA, 443 nt
Filed under: uncultured bacterium
Lineage: Bacteria
Description: partial 16S ribosomal RNA
Rfam family: Bacterial small subunit ribosomal RNA
Source: RNAcentral
CCUACGGGGGGCAGCAGUGGGGAAUAUUGGGCAAUGGGCGCAAGCCUGACCCAGCAACGCCGCGUGAAGGAAGAAGGCCCUCGGGUUGUAAACUUCUUUUAUUCGGGACGAAACAAAUGACGGUACCGAAUGAAUAAGCUACGGCUAACCUCGUGAAAGCAGCCGCUGUAAUACGUAGGUGGCAAGCGUUAUCCGGAUGUACUGGGUGUAAAGGGCGUGUAGGCGGGAGAGCAAGUCAGACGUGAAAUUCCAGGGCUUAAACCUGGAACUGCGUUUGAAACUGUUCUUCUUGAGUGAGGGAGAGGCAGGCGGAAUGCCGGGUGUAGCGGUGAAAUGCGUAGAUAUACGGAGGAACACCGGUGGCGAAGGCAGCCUGCUGGACAUUAACUGACGCUGAGGCGCGAAAGCGUGGGGAGCAAACAGGAUUAGAUACCCGGGUAGUC